GCCUAGUUAGCUUGGAAGGUAGAGCGCCGGCCUUGUAAGCGCUAGACAUUGGGUUCAAUUCCCGCCCAAGGCA
This 73-nucleotide transfer RNA is filed under the name Diaphorina citri (Asian citrus psyllid). It matches the Rfam family "tRNA". From Rfam's summary of the family: Transfer RNA (tRNA) molecules are approximately 80 nucleotides in length. Their secondary structure includes four short double-helical elements and three loops (D, anti-codon, and T loops). The record is from Rfam by way of RNAcentral. Lineage: Eukaryota; Metazoa; Arthropoda; Insecta; Hemiptera; Psyllidae.